GAUGAACGCUAGCGAUAGGCUUAACACAUGCAAGUCGAGGGGCAGCAUGGUCUUAGCUUGCUAAGACUGAUGGCGACCGGCGCACGGGUGCGUAACGCGUAUGCAACUUGCCUCACAGAGGGGGAUAACCCGUCGAAAGACGGACUAAUACCGCGUACACUUGGGAUAGGGCAUCCUGACCCAAGGAAAUGAAAUUCGCUGUGAGAUAGGCAUGCGUCCCAUUAGCUAGUUGGUGAGGUAACGGCUCACCAAGGCGACGAUGGGUAGGGGAACUGAGAGGUUGAACCCCCACACUGGUACUGAGACACGGACCAGAAUCGUACGGGAGGCAGCAGUGAGGAAUAUUGGUCAAUGGGCGAGAGCCUGAACCAGCCAAGUCGCGUGAAGGAUGACUGUCUUAUGGAUUGUAAACUUCUUUUAUACGGGAAUAACAAGAGUCACGUGUGGCUCCCUGCAUGUACCGUAUGAAUAAGCAUCGGCUAACUCCGUG
RNAcentral lists this ribosomal RNA (490 nucleotides) under uncultured bacterium. Its description in RNAcentral is "partial 16S ribosomal RNA". It matches the Rfam family "Bacterial small subunit ribosomal RNA", at positions 28 to 507 of the family's 1533-position model. The record is from RNAcentral.